UCAACAAGGCGGGUUGCCGCAUCGUCGA
Molecule: small RNA, 28 nt
Filed under: Bombyx mori (domestic silkworm)
Lineage: Eukaryota; Metazoa; Arthropoda; Insecta; Lepidoptera; Bombycidae
Description: ovarian small RNA-24533
Source: RNAcentral